This 1335-nucleotide unclassified non-coding RNA is filed under the name Hevea brasiliensis (rubber tree). Lineage: Eukaryota; Viridiplantae; Streptophyta; Magnoliopsida; Malpighiales; Euphorbiaceae. The record is from RNAcentral.
CAACUAUAGUUAAUACCGGGUCAGCUGCAUUCUCAUACUCAGGUAACUAUUUUCUUGCCUUCACUCCCAUUCAUCAAUCUUUUAUAAACAAUGUAUCUGUUAUUCAUGAACCUGUUACAUACUCCCAAGCAUCUAAGGAUACUAACUGGAUUGAGGCUAUGCAGCAAGAGAUAGUGACUUUGGAGAAAAAUAAUACUUGGAUGUUAACUACCUUACCAGUAGGUAAGAAAGCUAUAGGCUGCAAGUGGAUGUAUAAGGUGAAAUGCAGGCCUAAUGGUGAGGUAGAUAGAUUUAAGGCUCGUUUGGUUGCCAAGGGAUACAAUCAAGUUGAGGGGCUGGAUUACAAAGAUAGAUUUUCUCCUGUGGCCAAACUUGUUACUGUAAGGCUUUUUAUAGCUUUAGCAACUGCUAAACAGUGGCCCAUUUAUCAAUUAGACAUAAAUAAUGCUUUUUUGCAUGGAUACUUAGAUGAAGAAGUUUAUAUGCAGCCCCCAUAAGGAUAUGAUAAGGCAUAACCAGGGCAAGUUUGUUUGUUGAAAAGGUCUUUAUAUGGCUUAAAACAAGCCUCUAGACAAUGAAAUCUAGAGUUUACUAGCUUUCUUAAAUCUUUAGACUUCACACAAUCACAACAUGAUUAUUAUUUGUUUACUCAAGGAAAUGCAGAUAACUUCAUGGCUCUUUUGAUUUAUGUGGAUAAUGUCAUUAUUUCUGGUGUGUGUACUGCUCAAAUAGAAGCUGUUAAACAAGAAUUACAUUUCAAGCUUAUCAUUAAAGACUUGGGAUUCAUGAAGUAUUUUUUAGGGCUGGAAAUUACAAGAUCAGAAAAGGGUACUCUUGUUAGUCAGAAGAAAUUCAUUACUGAUGUUUUGACAGAUACAAGAAUGUUACAUUGCAAACUAGCUACCUCUCCUUUACCUACUGGAUUACAUCUAUCCAUUGAUUCUAGUAAUCUUAUGUCUGAUCCAGAUGUUUAUAGAAGAUUGAUAGGGAGGUUGCUAUGUAUCAACAGUACCAGACCAGAUAUUAGUCAUGCUGUGCAACAUUUGAGCCAAUUUAUGUCUUCUCCUCGACAGCCUCAUUGGAAUGCAGCAUUGCAUGUCUUGAGAUACUUGAAAGUCCACUUCCAAAGGCUUGUAUUUUCUAGUGACCAAUGAUUUUAAGCUCACUGCAUUUUGUGAUGCAGAUUGGGCUUCCUGUGCCUUCACCCGAAAGUCACUCACUGGAUUUUGUGUGUUUCUUGGUUCCUCUCUUAUUUCUUGGAAGACAAAGAAGCAAACAAUGGUAUCCAAGUCUUUAGCAGAGGCAGAAUACAGGGCAAUGGCUUCUACAGUUUGU